UACGGGGGGGGCAAGCGUUGUCCGGAUUUAUUGGGCGUAAAGAGCGUGUAGGCGGCCAUACAGGUCAGCUGUGAAAACUCGAGGCUCAACCUCGAGACGUCGGUUGAAACCGUUUGGCUAGAGUCCGGAAGAGGAGAGUGGAAUUCCCGGUGUAGCGGUGAAAUGCGCAGAUAUCGGGAAGAACACCCGUGGCGAAGGCGGCUCUCUGGGACGGUACUGACGCUGAGACGCGAAAGCGUGGGGAGCGAACAGG
Molecule: ribosomal RNA, 253 nt
Filed under: uncultured bacterium
Lineage: Bacteria
Description: partial 16S ribosomal RNA
Rfam family: Bacterial small subunit ribosomal RNA
Source: RNAcentral